RNAcentral lists this ribosomal RNA (1047 nucleotides) under Klebsiella pneumoniae. RNAcentral describes it as "partial 23S ribosomal RNA". It matches the Rfam family "Bacterial large subunit ribosomal RNA", at positions 170 to 1258 of the family's 2925-position model. The record is from RNAcentral. Lineage: Bacteria; Pseudomonadati; Pseudomonadota; Gammaproteobacteria; Enterobacterales; Enterobacteriaceae.
GUUAACGAGGCGAACCGGGGGAACUGAAACAUCUAAGUACCCCGAGGAAAAGAAAUCAACCGAGAUUCCCCCAGUAGCGGCGAGCGAACGGGGAGCAGCCCAGAGUCUGAAUCAGCUUGUGUGUUAGUGGAACGGUCUGGAAAGUCCGACGGUACAGGGUGAUAGUCCCGUACACCAAAAUGCACAGGCUGUGAACUCGAAGAGUAGGGCGGGACACGUGGUAUCCUGUCUGAAUAUGGGGGGACCAUCCUCCAAGGCUAAAUACUCCUGACUGACCGAUAGUGAACCAGUACCGUGAGGGAAAGGCGAAAAGAACCCCGGCGAGGGGAGUGAAAAAGAACCUGAAACCGUGUACGUACAAGCAGUGGGAGCACCUUCGGGUGUGACUGCGUACCUUUUGUAUAAUGGGUCAGCGACUUAUAUUCUGUAGCAAGGUUAACCGUAUAGGGGAGCCGCAGGGAAACCGAGUCUUAACUGGGCGUUAAGUUGCAGGGUAUAGACCCGAAACCCGGUGAUCUAGCCAUGGGCAGGUUGAAGGUUGGGUAACACUAACUGGAGGACCGAACCGACUAAUGUUGAAAAAUUAGCGGAUGACUUGUGGCUGGGGGUGAAAGGCCAAUCAAACCGGGAGAUAGCUGGUUCUCCCCGAAAGCUAUUUAGGUAGCGCCUCGUGAACUCAUCUUCGGGGGUAGAGCACUGUUUCGGCUAGGGGGUCAUCCCGACUUACCAACCCGAUGCAAACUACGAAUACCGAAGAAUGUUAUCACGGGAGACACACGGCGGGUGCUAACGUCCGUCGUGAAGAGGGAAACAACCCAGACCGCCAGCUAAGGUCCCAAAGUCAUGGUUAAGUGGGAAACGAUGUGGGAAGGCACAGACAGCCAGGAUGUUGGCUUAGAAGCAGCCAUCAUUUAAAGAAAGCGUAAUAGCUCACUGGUCGAGUCGGCCUGCGCGGAAGAUGUAACGGGGCUAAACCAUGCACCGAAGCUGCGGCAGCGACACUAUGUGUUGUUGGGUAGGGGAGCGUUCUGUAAGCCUGCGAAGGUG